CCAAGCUCCCUCCACAGAAGUGCUUGGGCUCUCUGGUGGCUCCUCUGGACCUGCUAUUCUAGUCCAAGUCCAUUGUUUUGCUGAUGAGAACACUGAGGUCCGGGGAGGUUGUGACCUGGACAGAGCUGACAGCAGGCAACUGCUGUCUGGAAGAGGAUGAUCCUCUUUCUGAUGUAUCGUUAGGUCAAUCGUAGCCGAAUGCUGUAGUGUCUCCGUCACUCACCUGACUUCAUCUCAUCAUGUAGGCAUUUUGUCAUCUCCCAUCAUCACGAGAAAA
Long non-coding RNA from Hyaena hyaena (striped hyena), 277 nucleotides. RefSeq lists it as uncharacterized. The record is from RefSeq and is a predicted model, not a curated record. Lineage: Eukaryota; Metazoa; Chordata; Mammalia; Carnivora; Hyaenidae. The transcript has 2 exons.